RNAcentral lists this ribosomal RNA (380 nucleotides) under uncultured bacterium. Its description in RNAcentral is "bacterial SSU rRNA". It matches the Rfam family "Bacterial small subunit ribosomal RNA", at positions 963 to 1340 of the family's 1533-position model. The record is from RNAcentral.
GAAGAACCUUACCAGCUCUUGACAUCUGUCGGACUUCGCAGAGAUGCGUUGGUGCCCGCAAGGGAACGGCAAGACAGGUGCUGCAUGGCUGUCGUCAGCUCGUGUCGUGAGAUGUUGGGUUAAGUCCCGCAACGAGCGCAACCCUCGCCUCUAGUUGCCAGCAUGUUUGGGUGGGCACUCUAGAGGAACUCCCGGUGACAAGCGGGAGGAAGGUGGGGAUGACGUCAAUUCCUCAUGCCCUUUAUGAGCUGGGUUACACACGUGUUACAAUGGCGGUGACAAUGGGAAGCCAGGUCGCGAGGCCGAGCAGAUCCCAAAAACCGGUCUCAGUUCAGAUUGCAGUCUGCAACUCGCCUCCACGAGAGGCGGCGCCGGUAGUG